Molecule: long non-coding RNA, 651 nt
Filed under: Brassica napus (rape)
Lineage: Eukaryota; Viridiplantae; Streptophyta; Magnoliopsida; Brassicales; Brassicaceae
Description: long non-coding RNA (BNAP_LNC002714)
Source: RNAcentral
AGAACGUCCACACACGCGCCUAGCUUCAACGUGUCGAUUGGGCAAGUCUCUGGCUUAGGUGGAGUUGGUGUUGGCGGUGUUACGACCGGUGGGCUUGGUGUUGGUGGCGUAACAACAGGUGGCGGUGGGCACGGUGAUGGCGGUGGCGGUGGGCACGGUGAUGGCGGCGUUACGACGGGUGAAGGCGUAUGAGUGGGUGGUUUAGGGGUGGACGGAGGUGGUUUAACAGUGGGCGGUUUCGUGGGUGGUUUCGGGGUAGACGGAGGAGGUUUAACGGUGGGCGGUUUCGUGGGUGGUUUCGGGGUGGACGGAGGUGGUUUAACGGUGGGCGGUUUCGUGGGUGGUUUCGGGGUGGGAUGAGGUUUGGUAGGGGGUUUCGGAUGUGGGUGUGGUUUGACAGUGGGCGGUUUGGUAGGGGGUUUAGGGUGUGGGUGUGGUUUGACGGUGGGUGGUUUGGGAGGUUUUACUGCCGGUGGUUUAGGCGGUUUGCUAGGAUGUUUAGGCGGUUUGUGGGGGUGAGGUGAUGGUUUAGGAGGGCUACAGUCGCAAGCGAAGGAGACGGCAAGAAAGCCAAGGAAGAGGAGGAUAAGAAAAGAGAGGUUUUGUGUACGAGACCCCAUUUUUCUAGAGUGAGGGUGUGGUUUACCCAAA